RNAcentral lists this ribosomal RNA (274 nucleotides) under uncultured bacterium. RNAcentral describes it as "partial 16S ribosomal RNA". It matches the Rfam family "Bacterial small subunit ribosomal RNA", at positions 523 to 796 of the family's 1533-position model. The record is from RNAcentral.
AUACGGAGGGUGCAAGCGUUGUUCGGAAUUACUGGGCGUAAAGCGCGCGUAGGUGGUCUGUUAUGUCAGAUGUGAAAGUCCACGGCUCAACCGUGGAAGUGCAUUUGAAACUGGCAGACUUGAGUACUGGAGGGGGUAGUGGAAUUCCCGGUGUAGAGGUGAAAUUCGUAGAUAUCGGGAGGAAUACCGGUGGCGAAGGCGACUACCAGGCCAGAUACUGACACUGAGGUGCGAAAGCGUGGGGAGCGAACAGGAUUAGAUACCCCAGUAGUCC